Molecule: ribosomal RNA, 268 nt
Filed under: uncultured Bacillota bacterium
Lineage: Bacteria; Bacillati; Bacillota
Description: uncultured Firmicutes bacterium partial 16S ribosomal RNA
Rfam family: Bacterial small subunit ribosomal RNA
Source: RNAcentral
CUUACUUUCCUGAAUCUAGUGGCGAACGGGUGAGUAACACGUAGGUAACCUGCCCAUGUGCCCGGGAUAACUUCUGGAAACGGAUGCUAAAAACCGGAUAGGUAGCAGACAAGCAUUUGACUGCUAUUAAAGUGGCUUUUGCCAUGAACAUGGAUGGACCUGCGGUGCAUUAGCUAGUUGGUGAGGUAACGGCCCACCAAGGCGACGAUGCAUAGCCGGCCUGAGAGGUUGAACGGCCACAUUGGGACUGAGAUACGGCCCAGACUCC